Molecule: ribosomal RNA, 253 nt
Filed under: uncultured bacterium
Lineage: Bacteria
Description: partial 16S ribosomal RNA
Rfam family: Bacterial small subunit ribosomal RNA
Source: RNAcentral
UACGUAGGUGGCAACCGUUAUCCGGAUUUAUUGGGCGUAAAGGGAACGCAGGCGGUCUUUUAAGUCUGAUGUGAAAGCCUUCGGCUUAACCGGAGUAGUGCAUUGGAAACUGGGAGACUUGAGUGCAGAAGAGGAGAGUGGGACUCCAUGUGUAGCGGUGAAAUGCGUAGAUAUAUGGAAGAACACCAGUGGCGAAAGCGGCUCUCUGGUCUGUAACUGACGCUGAGGUUCGAAAGCGUGGGUAGCAAACAGG